This 182-nucleotide ribosomal RNA is filed under the name Enterococcus saigonensis. Its description in RNAcentral is "partial 16S ribosomal RNA". It matches the Rfam family "Bacterial small subunit ribosomal RNA", at positions 606 to 787 of the family's 1533-position model. Lineage: Bacteria; Bacillati; Bacillota; Bacilli; Lactobacillales; Enterococcaceae. The record is from RNAcentral.
GGCUCAACCGGGGAGGGUCAUUGGAAACUGGGAGACUUGAGUGCAGAAGAGGAGAGUGGAAUUCCAUGUGUAGCGGUGAAAUGCGUAGAUAUAUGGAGGAACACCAGUGGCGAAGGCGGCUCUCUGGUCUGUAACUGACGCUGAGGCUCGAAAGCGUGGGGAGCAAACAGGAUUAGAUACCC